GUUACAAAUUUGAUGUUCAUUUCUCUUCUUCCUCUUUUAGAGAUGGGUAGUGAGGAAGCUCUCAAGGCAAAAGAAAUCUCAAUAAAUGGCAUAUGGUAGACUUGUGAGCAAUGCUUGAAAACUUUCAACUCCACAGAAAGUAGUUACCAUUGAAAGGUUAAGAAAUGAAUUUUUGUAAUCAUAAGGAAUAUAAUUCAGUUCCUUAAACAUAGAAUUAAACCUUUUCAAAAUUUUUAAAAUAUCCCCAGAUUUUUUAAAAAAUAUAUAUUUUCCCAUUCAUCUUGGUAAGUACAAUGAUAAUUGGAAAAUAAAAGAAAAAAUAAUAUCUCUCUGCCUCCAGCAGUUAUUCCUUACAGGCCUGCCAAUUUAAUUUUGUAUCCUACAUCUUUAUAAUUAUCUUUAUAUUUUGUUAAUUAAAUUCUUUAUCCUCCAAUACAGAAUAUCAGUCAUAGUAAAGUUUCAACCUUAUUAUCCAGCAAUAGUAGCAUACAGCUUGUGUUUUCUCAUAAAUCUGGUGUCUUCAAAAUAAAUUAGGAGCAAAUGAUAAGCAUUUGAAAGAACAGUAAAGUUUUCAAAAGGGAAUCUUAGAUUUGGGAUUUUCCAAUCCACAGAAAGAGAUAGGGACAGAGACACGGAGAUUGGGAGAAAAAGAUAGGUAGAGAGGGAGGAAAAAGGAAAAUAAAAAUAAAAGUAUCUAUUAAAGAUGAAAGCUAUUACUGACAAUAUUUAAUACAUAAAAUAUAUUAAAAUAGAUCUACUGAAUGUGUGCAUUUGUGGUAAAAACACCUAACAUGAGAUCUAUCUUCUUUUUUUUCAUGUUAUUGAUUUUAUUAUUUUUUAAAAUACAUGACAACAGUGGAAUGGAUUACAACCCUUAUUACACAUAUAGAGCACAAUUUUUCAUAUCUCUGAAUAUAAAGUAUGUUCACAUCAAUUUAUGCCAUUAUACAUGUAUUUUUUUGCAUUACAAUUCUUAAUACAC
RNAcentral lists this long non-coding RNA (982 nucleotides) under Marmota monax (woodchuck). Lineage: Eukaryota; Metazoa; Chordata; Mammalia; Rodentia; Sciuridae. The record is from RNAcentral.